GACGAAGGUGGCGAGCGUUGUUCGGAAUCACUGGGCGUAAAGCGCACGUAGGCGGAUGUGUCAGUCAGGGGUGAAAUCCCGGGGCUCAACCUCGGAACUGCCUUUGAUACAGCACGUCUCGAGUCCGGAAGAGGUGGGUGGAAUUCCUAGUGUAGAGGUGAAAUUCGUAGAUAUUAGGAAGAACACCGGUGGCGAAGGCGGCCCACUGGUCCGGUACUGACGCUGAGGUGCGAAAGCGUGGGGAGCAAACAGG
Molecule: ribosomal RNA, 253 nt
Filed under: uncultured bacterium
Lineage: Bacteria
Description: partial 16S ribosomal RNA
Rfam family: Bacterial small subunit ribosomal RNA
Source: RNAcentral